Long non-coding RNA from Numida meleagris (helmeted guineafowl), 3001 nucleotides. RefSeq lists it as uncharacterized. NCBI's taxonomy places the organism in Eukaryota, Metazoa, Chordata, Aves, Galliformes, Numididae. The record is from RefSeq and is a predicted model, not a curated record. The transcript has 3 exons.
GCCCCAGGGAUGGUUGGGGGGCGGCGUCAUUCUAGAAUUAGGGAGUGUGGCACUGGCCCAGUCGCUCUCCCACUUCCUGCACGAGCUGCUGUGUCCAAACCUUGACAGCGCCUGGUCCAAUGCAUCUGAUUCGGGGCAGAUCCCAGAGCAGCUGCAAGAGGACUGAGAUAAGGCUCAUACGAUUGCUUAUUUUGGGCUUCUCUGCACUGGAGAUUUUCCUGUGGUCACUGCCAGAGCACAGCCCUUCAGCUGGAAACUGUGAGGCAAAGUUAAAAGCCACUGACUGGAUAUUCAUCUGGAGAGACCUCGCACAGAGCAAAAUAUUAGACAUGAAAGGAUAGCAUUUUGUUUAAGAUAAGGUCUAAUCUCUUCCCUUUGUGAGCAAAAUUUCUGAACCAAAUCUGAGCACUCACACUCACAAGUUAAAGCUGUUUAACUUUCGCUCUCAGCUAGGUGGGCAGCAAUGCAAAUACCCAGAGCUAAAUCUGCAUGGCAGUCCUGAGCACAGCAUGCAGAUGCAGUAAGGGGGAGGCUGACUACCAACAAAAUAUUCAGGACCCGCAUCUGAUUAAGUACAGUCUUGAACUUUCAUAGACCUUGCUGUGUACCCAUCACACUACAUGACUCCUUGAAAAGCCACAGUCUGCAGCAUUUUACAGUGAUGCUCAGCAGUGGGACUGGUUCCUGUUUAUCAACACGUUCUUGAGAAAGACAUCCUAUCACUUAAAAUUUGAUGAGAGUAUGUUAGAAGAUGCUUGUCCCAAAGUUCUUGUUGAGAAGCAUGACUGAGCACACACAGCUCAUAAAUAACCCUUUCUUUAUUGUUGUUGUAGCUAGGUGUUGCUGAUGGACUCCCUGGAGCUUCACAAAGCAUUGGCCAUGCAAACGGCCAGAUUCCUGGUUUGGUGGGUUGAGGCACAGAGUAAUAAAUUGCAUAAUGUGAGUAAGUUGGCAUGUAUGUUCCCAGUGAGGAUUAUACAUCCAUAACUGGAACCUUUAUGGUAACUAGAAUGGGAAAUGAUUGGGGUUGCAUCAAGAAUAGAGCACCUUUGUUUUACGGCUGAUGGGACUUGGAUUUAUUGGAAACAGAGGGCAGACUGUUGACAUUGGCUGUAUAGGAGACAUGAAGGAGUCUCCCACAAACAGAGGACCCUUCGAGUAUACCAUAUCAGUCAUCCAUAAAAGUUAUCACUUUAUCAUCCUUGCUCUGGAUUCAUUGCAGGCAUCAGUUUCUCUAUUUUACAGCCUAGACAGAUUUUACUUUGAGUGUGUUUAAGAACCCAGAGGGCCAUAUUUUUUGUCAGUUUGUGUUUUUAACACGCUGAUGGAUAGUAUUGCGCUUCUGGUUCCUCCCUGAAUUUACAGUUUUCCAUUCACCAUAGGGAACUCUCUUUUCUUAACAACCUGUGGGACUGUUGAGCUGUGAAUGACAGAGAUUAAAAAAUUAUGGGCAAGAUUUUUCGUUGUUCUUUCAUGACACACUCCAUUUUUUUCACUGCAAGAGUGGGAUGCUUUCAAAACUGACUCAGAUAAAUAAAAAAUGAGCUAGACAUCCUCCUGCAGACAGGGACUCUGAGAGGAAAUAGCUAUAUAUUUCUUGUACUACUUGUUGAAUUACUGAAUAUAAUCUGAUGGACAUAUCUUCAGCUUCUGUAAGCCAAGGUGGGAGCUUAAACUUCACUGCACUACAUCAGACGAGGAUUUGGCUCUCCUGCCUGUCUCAGCCUCUAACCACAUUGCUGGUGGUUUACAGAUUAAACGGUCCAUCAUAUGAGGAUGGAAAUUCCUGGAUCUGCUAGCUGAUAUGCACAAUGAGGACUGUCAGACUCCAAAACAGGGUCUGGCUUUUGCUGCACUGCAGGAGGGUUUAAUUCCUGGGCUCCCACCAGCAGCAGGAGACACGUGGACGAUGCCACCACCACUGCCAUGCUGCAGCUCCCACCUGCUACUGCCAAUAUCUCAGCGUUUUAAGAGAAAAAGCAAUGGUUUUGAAGUGGAUCUAAGCUUUUCCUGACACCAACAUUGUAAUUGUAAGAAACAGAUUUACAAAGGCCCACAGAGGAUCACUUAACGACAGUGUCAAGCAGCUUUACCUGCAUCUUUCCUGAAGGACAUCUGGAUAACUUCUUCAGAAUUUGUAGUGGUGGGGAUUUGCAGGCUCCCCCCUGAGCCUGUCUCUGCAUUGUCCCUGCAAUUAGAAGCUUUUUCCUGAUGCCUGGCUGAAAUCACCUUCUCUUCUGCUAAGCCUAUUACAACUUGUCCUAAUCCCGGGGAAUACAAAAAGAUUCAUUCUUUCUUCCUUAGAGCUACCUUUUACAAAUUUGGAUACUAUCUCACCACAAUCCUCUUUUCUAGUCUAAGCAAUAACAAACCCUUUAGCUUUUCCUUGCAGUUCAUGAAUUCUGAACCUCCGAUCAAUCUUGUUCUCUCAGUUCUUUCCAUCUGGUCCAUAGCCUUUCUAAACCACAAUUUCCAAAGCGCAGUACGUUUUGUUUGCGAGGACCACGUGCACAUGUUUCACUUCCUUUCACACCCCACCUCCAAAACAACUGUUUUCCUGCUUUUUUUACUAGCUGCAGAAGGGAGGGUACAGGGAGGCUGGCAGCCCAACGUUAGCAUUUUACAAAACAUUGGUUGUUUCUCGUGAUGUGGAAAGACACAUAGCAAGGAGAAAUGAAUUAAUUUCAUGUUUCCUAAGUGCCAUCAUAACUGCUGAAACCACAAAAUGUAUGUAAAGCUAUUAAAAUAUUUGAAUAGUGUAAGUUUAGGUAAGAUUUCAGCAGAUAUCUGUACUGCGCUUGUUUCUCAAUGUGAAAGCUGUGACCCAGCACUUCUACUGAAUCAGCAAGUUAUUGGCCCUGUUAUUGAGAACAGUGCUCUCAGGCUAAGGGUUAUUGCUUUUAAGUUAGCACAAAGGUGAUCACCACUGAUGUGUAUACGCUUGGAGGGAAAACUAAACCAUUGGAUAGUAGAAUCAUAGAAUCAUCAAGUCAUAGAAUCA